CGUAUUAUCGACCUCUGCCCGCACGUCUAUCGCGAAUUGUUCAUAUCUUGCCUGAAGGAUCCCGUAUGAUUGAUUCUACAGUUUGAUCACAACUUGGUUCGUGCGUCGAAAAUAGUAGCAACGAAACGAAUCAAGUUGAGACAUCUUUUGGCGUGCAAGGACGUUAUCAACGUUUCCCAAAUUUUCCUUCCGGAUCUGUUGGGCAACACGAAAAGACGAUGGGAAAACCGUGCCCUCCUCAUCGUGCACGUCUUGUGACGUGUGCAAGUUUGUGCGUGCAAUCGCAUCUGAUGCGACGUGAAACGGAAUUCUAAAAAUACGGACGUUGACAGCCGGCCGACCGGAAGAAUCCACAGAUUCCGUCAGCGGAAUCGAGCGGAAUUAACCCACUAUCUACACAAGGAUAUUAUCUGAAUCAUUCUUUCCGUUUCUUCAAUCGAUAACGGAGGAGUUAAGGAGUCUAUCCAGGACUAAAUCUAUUUAUCUGUAUGUGUCGUAUAAAAUUGCCGUCCAGGGCAAUAGCAGUCUUGCAAUCAAGUUGUUGUGUCCCCAAACUGAUUGGAUACACAACACGGUGGUGUACACGAACCCUACACGCUGACAAUGGAACACAAGCCUCAAAGCUGAUUGUAAGAUUCGCCAUCCAUGAUAACAUUUUCGCCUCGAGAGAUGAUCGAGUUCUACGAGAAAGCUGAGCUGUUGAGCGGCUUGCUUUCUUCAUUAUACGGGCGGGGUUUUCCCCGCUGUAACGCAUGUUCGUGCUAUUGGAUAUACUAAAAAGAAAAAGGACUGAACGUCGAUAAGAAGGGGAAAAGUUUGUCCGGAGGGAGAUGGCAAAGAUUAUCCGCGUGACCAACUAAAGAGAGACAAAGCCCCGGCUUUAUUACUAUAACGUGAAGUGAAAGGGUAACUCGACGACACACAAGAUCCGGGAGAAAAAAGAAAGGAUUACAAGUACAUGUCAUGUAGGAGUCUUCAAGAUAAGCUUUGGAGAUAAAGAAGAGCAAAAAAAAAAAAGCCCAAUAACUUGAACGUCAACGGAGGACAGUCGGUUUAUUGGAUGAAACAGGAUCUCAUUGAUUCGAAACGUCAACACAAGAAAAGGAGGGAAAAAAUCCUAACUUGACGUCAGAUCAAACAAUGGGGAAAAAAACGCGAGGCAAAGGCUAAGUGAAUCAAGAAACAAGAACUAUUGUACCAUACUACACAAGAGCACAAAAUUAAUCAUCCGAGAAGGACCCGUUGUAAUAACAAUUCGAGAAACGACGAGGAAAUUAUUUGGAAUCCUUUGUAUUUUGCAGCAGACGAAAUGAAUUAAUGAUUCAACUUUAAAAACAUCGUCUGAAUGAUGAAAGACGUUCAUUUUCUUUCAUGUUUGUAUUCCUGUAGAGUUAACGAUGUCGUGUAAAAUAGCAAAAAGAGAAUUAAAGUUGAAAAUAAAUGUGGGGUGGCCAUUAGGCAAUCAAGAAGCGUGUUCACCAUGUCGGACCUUGCCGUAGGUGCAUGCUACUUGAGCUGUCACUCUUUUGCACGCUCUCAACUCUCCCCUAUUAAGUGUGUAUACGGAUUCUAAACACAUCCACCGUUGGACCAGACCUGUGUG
This is a long non-coding RNA of Daphnia carinata, 1603 nucleotides long. RefSeq lists it as uncharacterized. The transcript is spliced from 6 exons. The record is from RefSeq and is a predicted model, not a curated record. NCBI's taxonomy places the organism in Eukaryota, Metazoa, Arthropoda, Branchiopoda, Diplostraca, Daphniidae.